GCGGGUGUGGCGGAACUGGCAGACGCGCUAGACUUAGGAUCUAGUGGAUUAAUCCGUGCAGGUUCAAGUCCUGUCACCCGCACCA
Molecule: transfer RNA, 85 nt
Filed under: bacterium
Lineage: Bacteria
Also listed under: 1 other name
Description: tRNA-Leu
Rfam family: tRNA
About the family: Transfer RNA (tRNA) molecules are approximately 80 nucleotides in length. Their secondary structure includes four short double-helical elements and three loops (D, anti-codon, and T loops).
Source: RNAcentral